RNAcentral lists this ribosomal RNA (429 nucleotides) under Pseudomonadota bacterium. RNAcentral's name for it is "Proteobacteria bacterium partial 16S ribosomal RNA". It matches the Rfam family "Bacterial small subunit ribosomal RNA", at positions 355 to 776 of the family's 1533-position model. The record is from RNAcentral. Lineage: Bacteria; Pseudomonadati; Pseudomonadota.
UGGGGAAUAUUGGACAAUGGGCGAAAGCCUGAUCCAGCCAUGCCGCGUGUGUGAAGAAGGUCUUCGGAUUGUAAAGCACUUUAAGUUGGGAGGAAGGGCAGUAAGCGAAUACCUUGCUGUUUUGACGUUACCGACAGAAUAAGCACCGGCUAACUCUGUGCCAGCAGCCGCGGUAAUACAGAGGGUGCAAGCGUUAAUCGGAAUUACUGGGCGUAAAGCGCGCGUGGGUGGUUCGUUAAGUUGAAUGUGAAAGCCCCGGGCUCAACCUGGGAACUGCAUCCAAAACUGGCGAGCUAGAGUAGGGCAGAGGGUGGUGGAAUUUCCUGUGUAGCGGAGAAAUGCGUAGAUAUAGGAAGGAACACCAGUGGCGAAGGCGACCACCUGGGCUCAUACUGACACUGAGGUGCGAAAGCGUGGGGAGCAAACAGG